UAACUCUCAUCCCCCACAACAUACCUUAAAUCCUCUCAUCCCCUUACUAAAAGAAGAGACAAACAAUAUAUCAGAGUAAUAAAAAUGAUGCUAUCAGUUAAUUAGUAUCAGAUGUAUUCAUAUGAAAACACUAAUCAAAAUAAAUAAAAGCAACCAAACAUAGAAAAUGAAUAAUCUAAUAAGGAAUAAAACAACAAAAGGAGAAAAAAAAACAAGAAAUAAAAGCAAAAAAAGAAGAAAAAAAUGAGGAAUAAA
This 255-nucleotide long non-coding RNA is filed under the name Lathyrus oleraceus (garden pea). RNAcentral's name for it is "Pisum sativum (pea) long non-coding RNA (PSAT_LNC018128)". Lineage: Eukaryota; Viridiplantae; Streptophyta; Magnoliopsida; Fabales; Fabaceae. The record is from RNAcentral.